Gorilla gorilla gorilla (western lowland gorilla) is the source of this 148-nucleotide non-coding RNA. It matches the Rfam family "Metazoan signal recognition particle RNA". From Rfam's summary of the family: The signal recognition particle (SRP) is a universally conserved ribonucleoprotein. The record is from Rfam. Lineage: Eukaryota; Metazoa; Chordata; Mammalia; Primates; Hominidae.
GCCGGGUGUGGCGGCGUGUACCUGUAGUCCCAGCUACUUGGGAGGCUGAGGCAGGAGAAUUGCUUGAACCCGGGAGGCGGAGGUUGCAGUGAGCCAAGAUGGUGACACUGCACUCCACCCUGGGUGACAAAGUGAGACUCCGUCUCAA